RNAcentral lists this long non-coding RNA (28849 nucleotides) under Jatropha curcas. Its description in RNAcentral is "long non-coding RNA (JCUR_LNC002098)". The record is from RNAcentral. Lineage: Eukaryota; Viridiplantae; Streptophyta; Magnoliopsida; Malpighiales; Euphorbiaceae.
UAGCUGGAGGAAGUAUAGUCAUCCAUAAUUAAAAGAAAGUUUUACUACCUUCUUUUGUAGAAAUAUUAACGAUGAUCUUUUUGAUGAUGAAUUUGGGAUGUAUUUGAGCAUAUUUAAGUUGGGGUUUCUCUUCAAAUUUUUCUCUAUUCUCCACAGUAAUAUUAGCGCAUCAUUGUUUUUACUUUGUUUUGGAUUAUAAGCUGCAUCAUUGGUAAGUGAGAUCAAGGGUGGAGAGGGAGCAUCUCGGUUUUGCCUAUAGUAACUUAUCUUUAAAUGUUAACUCAGUUUAUCCUUAAUACAUGAUGCUCAGUUCAGUUGUGAGUAUAAUAUGGGCAAAUUAUCUUAAGAAUCAUUAAAUCCAAUAACUAAAUUAAUGUGAUUACAUGGAUUGCCUCCACCUCUUGUUAAAGAAGCACAAGAAUUGAAAAGAUUAACUAGCCAUUGUAAGUGUUCUGGAACAUUUGUCUUUGACUAAGGUUUUUAGUUUGAAACCUGCAUGGCGGAGGAUUUUAACCAUCACUGACAUUCAGAAAAGGGAACAAAACCAUGGAACAAUGAGACUAAACGAAAACGCUGUCAAAUCCACUCGUUGCCUUUUACUAAAACACUUUGGGUUACGCAAUUAUGGAGGUUGGCUUGCUGCUAAAGUCCCAACUUGUGAUUGGUCACAGGUCUCUUGAUAGUUGACUUCCUUCCCUUGUGGGCUAUUUUGAAUUAACCAUAAAAUUUGCUCGUGACAACGAGCUUAUUGGAGAGAACUUCUGAUCUCCUAAAACCAAACUUUUAAGUUUAAUCUUUGCGCCUUUUGUUCACGCCCAUGUUCUUUAAAUAUCAUGGCAGUGGACAGAACCAACUAUAAACUAGUAAACUAGAAAACUGAAAAUAACAACCUAUAAGGAAGCUAGAAAUAACUGCCAAUUAUGUAGAAAAACUACACUACAGCCACAAACUGAUUUAGCUACUUAAUCCAAGCUUUCAGCUGCUGCUGCUAAGUUUUCAUUACCAUGGGUAUAAUGCCUAUAAACAUAUCCAAACAAGAUAAUUUUAAUACUCCUUGAACCAGUGUCCUCAGUUUGCUGUGUUGAUUCCAGGUUCUUAACACUUCCUCUGUUCUCCGUCAUGAGAAUUUCUUUGGUAGUUGCUCCAAGUUUGUUGGCAUGGAAGGUUAUACACUACUAUUUUCGCAAGAAUUCAGUAGUUUCAAUCCCUCUUUUUUGAAGGGAUUUAAUAGGAGAGCCUUUAGGCGCGGAUCUUUCUCUAUGCUUAAAGACAUCUUGAUUAGUACCUUUUACUUCAGUGUGCAGUACUAUAGAUAGGCAAACUGCUCUUGACUUCUUAAUCAUGUAACUUAAUAUUGACUUUAUUUUUGUUAUUGGGGUAUGCUUCCUCUUGGACCCAUCAAUGCUAUUUACCACAAUCUUUUGUGUUUCAAACAUGUGUGCUGCACCUAGACUAAGUUAUUGGUUAAUCUUUGAGUAGCGCUGUUACACCAUCAGGGAUGAUUUUUGUACAAUGAUCUAGGUCUUAGAUUCCUUGUGGAGUGAUGGAAAAUUGCCCUGCGCAUAAAGGCAGCAUUGACCUUUCCUUGGAAAGUCUUAAUGGGAUUGCACAUGUAGCUCUAUUACAGAUAAGCUGAAAGAUCUAUGUCCACCUUGUUGUCGGGCAAUCCUUUAGGGGGAUUGCCGCUAAAAAUUCUCUCAUGUCUUAACACCACUUCUGUUUCUAAUUUUCAAUAUACUGAAGGAGAAUUGAUUAUGAUAAUAAAAUAUCCAAUGAUUCCAUCUCAGAAAAAGUGUAAAUACCAAUUUGAUCCUUUAAGUGGACUGAUGUGGUUCUCUCUUUCUGGUAGAGAAAGCAUUAAUUGUGCUCCUCUCUAUUGACUUCCUCCUUAUUUUACAUGUUUGAAUUUCCAUGGUUAUACAAAGGAAAAUUAGCUUUUGGAGUCAAUUUCUAAUUUUAUCAUUUCAUUGAAUAUUCAUGCUUUGUUCAACUAUGGAAUAUUCAGUCCCUUGUUUAAUUUAUUUUCUCCAAUUGUUCAGGAGGAAAAAGUUGACAGACCAUUGGAGGAGAUUUAUACGUCCUCUUAUGUGGCGAUGCAAGUGGAUAGAAUUGCAAAUUAAAGAAUUUCAGUCCCAGGCGCUUAAGUAUGACAGAGAACUUGCAGAACAUGAACAGAGAAAGCAGUUUGAUUAUGGUACGUUUUUAAUAGAAGGAAUUGAUGCAAAGUCAACACCAUUUUCAAGUUGUACUAAAAGGAACAAAGUCAUGAAAAGAAAGAAAAGAAAAAGAAUUGAGGAGGCAACUGACAUAUCAUCAUAUAUGCUACAACAUAACCUCUUUUCCUAUUAUGGUAAGCAUUCCGAUUUGCCUAUUACCUGUAGCAUUUGCAUCCCGAUGACAAGCAUUUUCCUAGGAGAGUAAUGUCUUUUCAUAUUCCCUUUUCUUAUUCUUUUCCCCUUUUCUUUCUUGACCAGAAACUAGGAAGUCUUCUGCCAAUGGUGCUUCUAUGAAUGACAAUUGCAGCAAUAAUCCAGGUAAGGAGUUAAAAUUUGUUUUGACUUCGUUUUUUAACUGAAAUUUUUAAAUGAUAAAACUGAGUAAUCUAGAAAUGCCUUAUAUACUGUGUUUAGCAUCUGUUCAUGGAUUUGAUGCUUCCAUAUGCUAGUCUUUGAUACAUUUCCUUUUGAGCCUCAACUUGAUUGAAGUAGUUAGUCUAAUAAAGGACUAGAGACAAUCACACGUUAGCAAAUGUGUGCAUGUAUUCUAACAUGUUUCUAUAUGAUGACAACAACAUAUAGCUCUGUGUGAUAGAGAGCGCACUUCUGAUUACUUGAUUGUGAGACGACGUGCAUCAAAAUUUACCUUGUUUUCUUGAUGUUGAUUGUAGAAUUUAUUGUUUUGUCUUCCCUUUUAAACAACUUCUUCCAGUUUCUCUUUCAAGUUUCUACAUAUUUGUACUUCUGAUGUUUUUUGUUUCCUGCAAUGGUAAAGUAUACCUCAUUAUUAUUCAAAUCGAGACUAAGUAGAAGAUUAUAAGCAAAAUUGAUAUUAUGCUGUCAGAAUUUAGAGUUGGGUUUAUUGGCAUAAAGAUCUUAAAUAUUAUUCCAAAAAAGAUGGUGCCAUGAAAAAUAGAAUUGAUAUAAUGAUUGGUCAAGUGCUUACAUUCAUCUUGAACUUUCUUAUUUCAAUCUUGUGGGACCUCAAGUUUGAUAAAGAUCUAUUAUACACUUGAACUUAUGAAUUUUGGACUUUGCACACCUUCCUGCACAAAUAAUAACAUCUUUUAGAGUUUUUGGCUUUUAUGUGCAAAACAUGAUUUGAUGUAUGAUGAGCACUACUUCUGAACAAUAAUUUUUUCAUUUUUCAACGAUCUAAUAAGUAUUUAACUAAUCUAAUUUUCUAAGUUGACGUGUUCAAUAAAAUGAUGUUGCGAACUAAAGUGUUUAACAAAUGUAAUUUCAUAAGUUGAAGUAUUCGAUGGUUCCAAGAAAAAAUUGAGAGUUCUAUAAGGUUAAAACAAUAAAGUGCAGAGGUAAAUUUAUGUAUUCAGCCUAUAAUGAAUGGAUGUUAUCUAGAUCAGAAACUGCAUGCUGCACACACAUCGGGAAACUUUUUUUUUUUUUUUUAAAUUAUAUAUUCUCUAUUGACUAUUAUUGCUAAAAUUCAGUUUAUCAUGUGCCUAACUUUUCUUAUCUGGGUCUUUUUCAGAUAAGGCAAUCAAUGUUAAUGAUGAGUUUGGCUUUCAAGAUGGAUGGGCAUCUCUUGAGACCAAAGGAAUUGAUAAUAUCUGUGAAAAUAUUCUUUUGAAAAUUGAAGCAUUACAAUUGCUAGUUCGCAAGUUGAAGGUCCGGAUUGAGAAGGUGGUGAGUGAAAAUCCUGGGAAGUUUGCUUCUGUUAAUAGGCUGAUCAUGCCUGUAUCUUGUGAUGCAUUGACCAGUUCUGAUCAAAAUCCUGCUUCCCCUCUUGAAAAUGAUGAUAGAAUGCCUGUUAGAUCUCUAUACACCAUCUCACAGUUUCUCCCUGAAAGUGCUGUUUCAAGUCACGGAGAGGUCACCACUCAUCCUGAUAUGAUUGAAAGCACAGAUCAGCCUGUGGUUGGGGUUUCAUGUGAAGAUGUAAGUUUCAUCUCUCUCUCUCUCUAUCCCCAACCCCCCCCCCCCCCCUUUCAAAAAAAAAAAAAAAAAAAAACCAAUCCAUUCUGCCGUCCUUUCGUGCUAGAUAAACAGUGUUGUUAAGUGUAUACUGGGCAAUGCUUCUUUCAUUCCCUGGCAUAUUUUUGGUGUAUACAGCACUUACAACGGGAGGUGCUGAAGGCUUAAAAUACUCGCCUUUACUUGUCUAUUUCUGUUAAGGAUUAGUUGUAAAUAGAGUUCUAUUAGGAGUUAGAUUCCUAAUUAGUUUAUGAUUUGUAUUCCUAAAUAGCUAGCGUAGGAAUUCCUUAUAUAUAGACCUAUGUAAUCGAUUGAUGAGAUACAAGAAAUACAAUUACAAUAUAUUCUCUCAACAUGGUAUUAGAGCCUUCCAUUAAAAAAAAAAAAAAAAAAAUCCCCAAAACCCCCUUAUNNNNNNNNNNNNNNNNNNNNNNNNNNNNNNNNNNNNNNNNNNNNNNNNNNNNNNNNNNNNNNNNNNNNNNNNNNNNNNNNNNNNNNNNNNNNNNNNNNNNNNNNNNNNNNNNNNNNNNNNNNNNNNNNNNNNNNNNNNNNNNNNNNNNNNNNNNNNNNNNNNNNNNNNNNNNNNNNNNNNNNNNNNNNNNNNNNNNNNNNNNNNNNNNNNNNNNNNNNNNNNNNNNNNNNNNNNNNNNNNNNNNNNNNNNNNNNNNNNNNNNNNNNNNNNNNNNNNNNNNNNNNNNNNNNNNNNNNNNNNNNNNNNNNNNNNNNNNNNNNNNNNNNNNNNNNNNNNNNNNNNNNNNNNNNNNNNNNNNNNNNNNNNNNNNNNNNNNNNNNNNNNNNNNNNNNNNNNNNNNNNNNNNNNNNNNNNNNNNNNNNNNNNNNNNNNNNNNNNNNNNNNNNNNNNNNNNNNNNNNNNNNNNNNNNNNNNNNNNNNNNNNNNNNNNNNNNNNNNNNNNNNNNNNNNNNNNNNNNNNNNNNNNNNNNNNNNNNNNNNNNNNNNNNNNNNNNNNNNNNNNNNNNNNNNNNNNNNNNNNNNNNNNNNNNNNNNNNNNNNNNNNNNNNNNNNNNNNNNNNNNNNNNNNNNNNNNNNNNNNNNNNNNNNNNNNNNNNNNNNNNNNNNNNNNNNNNNUUGUCCUAAUUCUGCUGCUACUAUUUGGUUUGGGAUUCUAUAUUGCUAUAAUGAAGUGGGUACAGUUGCUGAGUAUGGUAUUGUGCUUUGCUGAAAGUAAUAGUUUGUAACAAGUUGAGCAUGAUUAUCAUCUAUGCUCCAACUUGAGGGGGAGUGUUAAGGAUUAGUUGUAAAUAGAGUUCUAUUAGGAGUUAGAUUCCUAAUUAGUUUAUGAUUUGUAUUCCUAAAUAGCUAGGUAACAUAGGAAUUCCUUAUAUAUAGACCUAUGUAAUCGAUUGAUGAGAUACAAGAAAUACAAUUACAAUAUAUUCUCUCAACAAGUUCAUUUGUUAUCAUUUGUCUCAGUCUGAUCAUGGUUCUAAAUGCUUCUUGAUAACAUCUCUUAGCCAGCUACAUGGAUUCUCUUCAAGUCAGUACAAUGUACCUUUUCGUUGUCUCACUAUUUGUACUGCUUUAUACUGGCAGCUUUGGCAAAAAUUUUCAACUCCAUGUAUUGUUGGGCUUGCUUUAUGUAAUGCAAAUAAAGGGUUGAUGGAGAGGUCUUGCUUGGGUAAGAAUAAUUGAAUGUGAGAGCUCUAAGACGUCCCAGGUUUGAUAUAUGAGAGAGUAAUAAUUACUGUCGAGUUGAGCUAUAGUUGGUAUACUAUUAGGAGCAAUCUUGUACAAUGGGUGCAUCAAAAAGCUUAAGCUAUGCUUAGCUGAUGCUUGUUAUUUAGGUGACUGUUUUGGCAACAAUUGGCCUCAAUUAAUAUCAUGUAGUGAUAGUGCCCCAUCCCAAAUAUACAUGUUAGCUAAUACUAGAAAUUGCUAUUUGUAAUAGAAACUCUGUGCUGAUAUAUGGGAAUGAGCCAGUGCUAUAUAUCUCAGUUGUCUAGAAAAACCAGAACAUUUAUUAUUGUGGUAUUGAGAACUUGGUGCUGACUUGCUUCCAGUUUGUGUGAUCAUAUAUCGUUCUUGUCCUUGUCCUUGUCCUGUCAGCUAGUGAGUUGAAAAUUUUCACAUUCGUACUGUGCCAACUCCAUAAAAAUUUUCUAUCAAGAUAUUUUCUUGGUUCAUAAGAUUUCAGUGGUAUGAUUGUUGCCGCUACUCAUAUUGGCAAUUAUAGCUUUGGUCGUGGGAGUCACAGAUUAUAUUCAUUUUCACGGGACAAUUUCUGUGUAGAAUUUGGAAUUGAUUAAUGUUUUGAUGUUUUGUGGACCAGCAUGUUUUUCUUCUUUUUAAAUUGUAUUGCCACCCAUCUAUUACGAGAGUUAUUUAUAACUGAUGUGUCCUUCAUUUCUGCAGACUAAAGAAGGAAUUCUAAUAAAUAAUCAGGCAGCAAAGGAAGAGAUGCAAGACUUGAAUAUGUUCAGAAACGAGGUCACAGAGAAGCAUCAGGUAGAGACAGAAGAGCAGACAUCAUGCGUUCCUGAAGCUACUAACAUAUCCACAGGUACAACUGUGCCUCGUGUAAAUUUUGGUGGAAAAACACUUCCAAAAUCCAGGAGCAAUCUUUCCAAUGACAAGAAGAAGACGGGGAGGAGAAAAUCUGGCAGAGGUGGCCGGAACCGUAAAUCCUGAGCUUAGCUGGAUAAGUGAUUUAGAUGUCUCGAGUACAUAAAAGACUGAAACUUCUUCAAAAGUUGUUGGAAGUAACACUUUUGCAAGAUGAUAAUUGUAAAUGCUGAUGCAUUUUCUGAUGUGUAUCUUCCCGCUGCCCAUCUGCUGCUUACAUAUUUGUACAUGCUCCAUAUUCAUUAGGUCUCUUAUCUAUGCUGUAGAGCAUUGGAUGCUUUGUUUAGAGAUGUGCUAUUAUUUUAAUACAAUUAUAAUUUUGUUUGUGGAAAUAUUUUUUAGAUUAGUGAGAAUUUGCAGAAUGUGUACACUGGAGAAGCACAGUUGUUAGGUCCCUCCUUGAAGCUAACAGCUCGAUCCGAGCCAGGAAUUGAAUUGGAUAGUGAAAACUGCUAGAUUCAUAUGAUAUCAUGGAUUUCUUUCUUACAUUGACCAUAUGCGUUUCGUCUCUCUCCUUUCUCCUUUGUGUAGCAUAAUGACUCGUCUCUUUUACUGUUCAAAUCUGCAAAAUGGGGAUGUUUUUUGAGUCUCAUGGGAGAAGUUAUGUGAUUGUAUAUUUGUCACAGGACUUAAUAUUUUCCCUUAUCUCUUCAAUUUGACACUACAGGAAUGCUUGUUAAUAUUUCAAUGUUUGACUGUUUUAGGUUUUCCUUCAACGCAUUCCACAAGUUUUUGUGAUAAUAACACUGUACAAGCAAUUCUUAGAUAAAGAUUCGCUUAUUAGUCUGAUGGAUUGGAUUGAUAUGUUUGAUACUGCAAAAAGAAAAAGUCAAAUAAAUCAAAUAUACAAAUUAAGAAGUUUUUAUAACAUUCGCCAAACACAAGUAGCAAUGAUGUCCUGUGUCCGUAUCAGAAUGCAGAUGCAAUCCCAGAUUCCUGAAGAGGUUGAGCAAGAAGUCUGUUCAGGAGCGCAAACACUCCUAGGAAAUGCGAAAAUAGUGAAAUAUGUUUGCUGUGAGAGAUCUAUCGAUCCAGUCAAAAGAAGUAAACUUUCCAUCUUAUGUUAAGGACUUCUUUUCAUUUUUCCCAUUUUUAGCAUCUAAAAUUAACCAUUUCCAACCCUUCAAUUGAGGUGGAGAAUCUUUAUACCAACCGAUAAAAGAUCAAGUACAGGAACAAGGUGGAUUAGCGGUCAGUCGCCAAGCCAGUUCAAGAAAGCCAAGUAAAAAAAAAAAUAUUUCCAGGUCUAUCUCAGCUCGUUCAUCAUCAUCCAUGAUCGAUUUCAAGAGCAAACCAUCUUCAGAACACCGUCUUCAUUUCUGGUGUUUCUGUUCAUGCCUCGUAGACUUGGUCUUUAACACUAAUUUCUCUCUGUAGGGUACGGUUGAAGAAAUGCUUCAUCUUUUUGCGGAUUUCGAAUCUGAACUUACUCAUCUACUCUAGAAAUUCAAGCUGCAUUGCAAAAUGUGACUGAUGCCCUUUAAACUGGACCAUUUUCCAAGAUCCUGAACAGAACAAGAAACUCAAGAGAGCCUUGCACCUCGUUUCCACUUACAGGUCUGAAGACGGUUUAGCCACUGGUCAAAUGGCUGCUAUUUCUAACUUUAGGCAGGAGAUUGAUAAACUUGUAGCAAAGUUCAGAAAUUGCAAUGAGGAAACAGUCUGAGAAAGACUUUCAGGAAACAUAUCUCUUGCUUAAGGAGCUGAAAGUAUGUUAGACCAAAUUAGUGGAUUUUAACCUCACAUACUUCUUAAUUUAGAACCUGUAUGAUAAGUAAAUAAGUUUUGUGGAACUAAAUCGAUGGUGUUCGGUCAUGGUAUCCAUAGCGUUGCUUCUUUUUCGGCGCAGACCCGACGCGACUGACAGAUAAGCCGACGUUAAUAGCAGGUCUAAUUCCCCCCCUUUUUUCGUCUAAGUAAGGUGAAUUGGCUUCCUGCUUGACCCGAACCGAAGCAAGUCCUUCUUUCAUUUCUUCGGUGAUUGGCUCUCGUAGCGCUUAGUGUAGUAAGGGCCACUGGCUGUUCUUUCUACGUAAACUUGCUUUUUGGCUUCUUUCAUCAAAGAUAGGUAUGAGCUAAAGGCUUUUUUUUCUCACUAAACCCAUUUCUGAUCUUCUAUUGAAACUUUAUAUUUUCAUUUUCAUUUUCUUUUUAGGAAUUCAAUUCAUGUAUGUUAACUAAAUAAAAUUCUGCCAUUAAUGAAUUCUGUAUUUCAAAUGUCAAAUUCACAUCAUAACAAAAAAAAAAAAGAAAAGAAAAAGGGGACACAGAAAAUAGAAUGGAAAAUAAGAUGAGAUUUCAUUUCCACUCCCUCUUUAUUUUAAUUAUUAACCUUCUAAUUUUUGUUUCAAAAGGAAUCCAAGGCAAGGCAGCAAGCUUAAAGGACUUUAGCUCCAAUGUGAAGCUAACAAGUUGUUCCAAGGUAGGAAUAUCCUUUCAUUUCGAAAAUUGUUAGAUUGAAUAUAAAUCAAGGAUUCCUUUCUUUCAUCUAAGAAAAAACAAAAUCCACUCUCUAUUUCUUUGCAUAUUUCUCCAAUUUUACCCUUCCAUUAUAUAUGUAACCAUUUUGCGAUUCAAUCUACUUGAAUUUUUCAAAUUUACAAAAUGGGGAUGUCCAUGAGUUUCAUGGGAAAAGGUUUUGUGAUCUUCUUGCAAAUUUUUCAUUUUCACAUAGUAAUCUUUUUUGUUUUCCCUUGCAUAUUAAUGGUUUUCUUAAUUCUUGCAUUUGAUUAAAAUUAUUACAUAACAAAUACAAUAAAGAAUUUUUUUUUUUUUUUUUUUUUUUUUUGUAGGGUUGCCUUCAAACCAGAUGGUAGGUUUUGUUAUGGGGACUCUCUACAAGCAAUUUGUGGACCAAGAUAUUAAGAACGUUGAGGAAUUCCACAUGGCUAUUCUUGAUAUCUUCAAGUAAGAUUAUAAAGAAAUUAUUAUUAUUAUUAUUAUUCUUGAUAUCUUCAAAUGAGAGGGUCGGAAUCAAGCCUGGACCUAUAUCAUCACCGUUAAGGUUCCUUACCACCAAAAUCAACAUGAGUUACAAAAAUUAUCUUUUUUUAGGUUGUGAUUAGACCUAAUAAAUAUACAUUAAUUUUUUCAUUCUUGAAAUUUUAUUGCUGUUUAAUUGUUUACAGCGCAUUCAACUCAGCAUUGCCUGGUAAACAUUAUGAUGCACCCUCAAGAAAAGAGAUAGAGGCCAGUGACAUUAACCUUACAAUAUUCUAAUUAAUUAAAUCCCAUUAUCUCAAAUAAAUUUAUAUAAUUAUGUACAAAAAAAUGUUCAAUAUUGCAGGCAUGUUUUAGUUUUUGGAAACAUGCUUCAGAUGCACAAAGAAAAGAACUCUUCAUUGAAUUGAUGAAGAAGAGCGUAAAACUUAGCAAGAUAGAUGACUCCGCCUUGGUCACCGGAGUAGUAACACCACCGGCAGCAAUGGCUGCCAAGAAAGCGGCGGAGAAUUUGCCUCAGUUAAAGAUAUUAAAGGCUGUGCCAGAUGUUGUCUUUGUGCCUGCAGCAACAGUAUUAGCUCUUAUCUCUGCUAAGCUUACAAAAAGGACGUUCUUUGGAAGUUCAGCGUCUCCUUAAUUCUAAAAUAAAUUGUAGUAUGAAUUAUCUUGUAAUAACUAAAUAAAAUAUUAAAAUUUCAAGCUCUUUAUAAUUGCAUUUAAUGUUUUUAAUUUUAUCAAUUAAACGUAUAAUUUUUUUUAUCAUUAAUUUUGCCUCAUUCAUUUUACACAUUGAAAGAUCGAUUUUUGAAGAGAACACAAGAAGAUAUGAGAUAGUACACACCCAUUAUAAAAAUAGACUUUUUUUUUUUUUUUGGUAACGAUUGGAGAGCAAAACUCUAAGUAAACAUUGAAAGUCCAGUAUAAAAAACCUCUUGAAGAAGCCAUUCUGCCAUCCCAGGAGGCGGUUCAUGAGAAGUUGACUCCCUGAUGGAUAAUUUCUUGCGCAUCUAGAAAAGUAAUCCGCGCAAUUGUUCAUUUCUCUGUAAAUAUGUUUGAUCACACAACUUUGAAAUUGUGGGAUCAACUGCUGAAUAGCAAGCACCAGUUUCUGAAUUGCUCUUGAAGAAGAACCAUUGCUUGAAAUGAGUUGGACAGCAGCCAAAUUAUCACAUUCAACUUGGAUAUUUUUCAUCCCUAAACUCUUGGCCAGCUGCAAACCUUCCAGAACUGCCAACAACUGAGCAUUGAAAACCGUACAAGAACCUAUGUUAGAAACAAAGCCUCUGAACCACCUCCCAGCAAUAUCUCGAAUUAAACCUCCACCACAUGCUGAUUGUCCAGUAACAGAAGUGUUAGUAUUGAGAUUGACGCAGUUGCUAGGGGGAGGAGACUAUGUGAGUGAAAUUAAUUCUUUAUUGCACGAAGGAAUCUCGACUUUUUCACGUACAAACUAGUUUCGAAAAUAUUCUUAGCCAAGCAGAACGCCUCCAUUUUCAACCUCUGUAUCGUCACAUGUUCUUCACGAAAGUACCAUCUAUUGCGUGGAUCCCAGAUUUUCCAGCAGCACACUCCGAAAAUAAUAGGUCAAGGGACACUAGAAUGAUGCGUACAGUUGCCGGAAAGAUUAUACAAGAGCCAAUUUUAAUGCAAUAUGUUAACUCAUAUUUCUCACACACGCAUAAACUCCACGUGUGAUUUGGGAUAUGGAAUACCCAACGUUUCUUAAAAUCGAAUUAAAUUAAAUAAAUAAUUAAAUAAAUAAUAUACAUUACCAAAUAUAUCUUAAUUCUACAGCUGAUACAUAAAUACAUUACAGCUUUAAUUUUAUGGCAUUUUAAAUUUUGAUGAGGACCAUUUAUGCUCUUAUUUCUUAUAAAUUUUUGCAAAUCACAUACUUUUCCAUAUCAUCGACAAUUAUCUAUAGGGAUAUUAUUUGAAAUAUUAAUUUGAUUUAUGAUUAGGAUAACUUUAGAAAUAAUGAUUUUUACAUCUUUUAAUUAUAUUUAAUAGAUGUCCGAUCAAUUUAAAUUUAAGUGUUAGUACAUUCAAUAGAAUGAUUUGCAAAUUUUUUAAUCUUGUUGAAGUUUUUAAUAAAUCAAAAUAAAGCUAAAGGUUCCUUUAGACACUUAAAAAAAAAAAAAAAAAAAAAAGUUAAAGCGUCAAUUUAUGCGUUUGGCCUAAUUCUGCAGGUUACUGUUUUUUUACUUUAUUUUAUUAUUAUUAUUAUUAUUUUUUUUUUUUUUUUUUUUUUUUUUUGAAAUGAGAUUUGUGCUUAAAAGGUGCAUAUUUUUUUCAUAUGGUUCAUUAUGAUUAAGUAGAAUAUGCAGGUAUGGUAGUGGCUAAAAGGUAGGUUUUGCGAUUUCAUUUUGCCUCCAUCUCUAUUUCACGUGAAACCAACAAUCUGUGCUAUGUACAGAUUUUCUUUUCUUUUCUUUGCUUUACUCUAUGUCAAGAAAUAUAAUAUAUAGUAUCAACUUUUUUUUUUUUUUUUUUUUAAAAAAUGAAGAUUUUUUAAGAAAUGAAGUAGCAUACAUACAAUUAGAAAUAGGUCAUUCCGCUAUGCAUAUGUCAAUAGUAUAUAUAAGAUAUGUCGGGUAAAAUUAACUGUUUUGUUAGCUGUUAGUUUUUUAAAUAAUGUUGUUUAAAUAAUUUUUCAUAAAACGUUAUAUAAAUUAACUUUUCAUAAAACACUAUCUUAACUUCUAAAAUCUAGUUCAAAGGCUAUAGUACCGAACACUAUAAAAAAUAUUAUUCAAAAUGCUAAAAACUACUUAAAAAGCGGUUGCCCGAACACAGUCAUAGUCUCUUUUAUUAAAUAUUAUUAGUAGCUAUUUUAAUUAGAAAAUACAAGGAAUAAAGAAAAACUCAACUUUAUAUAAACUGAUUAUCAAAACAAAAGAUAGAAUAAAAUGGCAGAUUGAUAUUUACAUAUAUGUUCAACUCAAUUAGUUCCUUAAUUAUGAAUUAAUUGGUAAAUUUUCUUCUUUUCUUUUUUUUUUCAUUUCAUAUUUAUAUGUGUGUUGUAGAUUUAAAUCUUCAAAAAAGAUUUAAAAUUUACAGUUAAACAAUUUUUUGCUAAUUUAAUUCAUUCCCAUGUUCUUUUUUCAUACAAGUUUGAUAUCCUCAACUUUUCCAUGCAUCUCCAAACAAUUCUUACACAAUUUUACUAAACAUGAUAACAAAUACUCUUCAAAUGGAGAGGAAGUCUUUAUCUGCGUAUAAUCAAGAACUAGAAAAGGUAAAACUGAAAUUUAAUAUUAAAAUUCAAAAAGUAGUAACAUAAUUUAGGAGUAGAACAAAAAAUUCAUUUAUUCCAAAAGCAAACGAGAAUUUGUUCAUAUUCAUAAAUGUUUCAAGAAAUAUUAAUCAGUUCAAGGGCACUUGGAUUGACCCUUGGAGUUCUUCUUGUCUCUAUAGCAAGGGCAUUCUGAUUUGUUUCCAUAGGUUCCUGAAGGUACACAUUUGCACUCUUGGCAGCAGAUUCCACAAUACUUCAAGCACCUAUCCUUAUAUCCUGCAUUGCUACACCUUGUCCCACACUUCAAAUCACAAUCACCUAAUAUCACCAAAACAGAAAUAUAAGUACUUAUUUAUUAUUCCAAAAUGGAAAAACCCCAGAAAAAAAAAAUUGAUAUUUGCUUGGCUUAAUUUAAUAAUCUUACUUGGAGCAGCUGUGGUAGGUGGUGGUGCAGCCAUAUAUGGUGGAGCUGAAGCCAUGGCUGUUUGAAGUAAAGAGGAGCAAAGAGCCAGUGAAAGAAUCAGGAAUGAUGCAAGCAAGAGCUUCAUUUUAGUUAUUUUGAUUGAUAUUUUACACUUCAAGAAAUAGUACUAACUAAGGCGAUGAGAAUUAGCUUAGGAAGCUAUGGGCUUGAAAGAAUUCAGAGGAGUAUUUAUAGUGGUGGAUUGAAGGUGGAAGUCAUGUGGAAAUUUGAAGCAAAAGGGUAUUUUAUUAAUAAAAUUAAAAGGCCAAUGAACAAUUUCAUUACAGUCUGUAAUUUAAGGAGGCACUUAUUGGGGAGGGCAUUAUAGAUUUUUGUCUUGAUUAGCUUAUUAUAUUUCUACUCAGGUUUAUGCUAUACAUAGGGAAGUUUGCAAGUACCUUCCUGAGGAAGGAGAUAAUCCUUUUUUAAGGUUAAUUAAUUAGGUUUUGACUAACACUUGUGAAGUUCUGAUGAUUUAUAAAAUUUUAGUACCAACAAUUUGAAAGGGUACAAGCUGUACUGGCUUCUCCGAUGUAGCCCAUUUGCAUAUGUUUAUUGAUCUUUUUUUGCUCUUCCUUUCUGGCUCGCCAGAAUCUCUAUGUAACUUGAAAAAUAAUUUCCAACUUCAAGUUAAAAGGGAACAAAGAAAUGAAAACUGAUAUAGACAGGGAUAGAGAAUCUCAAUUAGUUUGGCGCACAAUUCCAGGCUGUGGCUUCCCCCAACUUGCACUUAUUUAAAUUAUUUCCUUUUUAUAUGUGUGGGAACUAGAGGAGGAAGAGAAUAGACAGGCCCCCGAAGGUUCCAGGAAAUUGGACUCAACCUCCUGAGAUUCCUCUUUAAAUAUUUUGAUGUUCAAAAAAAAAAAAAAAAAAAAAAAAAAAAAAAAAAAAAAAAAAAAAAAAAAUUUUUUUUUUUUUCCCCCGCCGCACAAAGAAAAUAUUUUGUUGCGAAUGAACAAGAUAUUGAGGAAUUGUCCAUAAUUUUACUGUCACCUGAGGAAAAUAAACUUAGAAGCUUAUGAAAAUAAAUUAUAUAGCUACAAGGCAACAAAAUCUAGAAUUCAAUGGCUAAAUGCACAAGAAGUUUCAUUAAUAACAAUGUGAAUUCUUACAGCAGAAUUUUUUAUAUUCAAGCAUGGAACAAUUUAAAUACAUCGGAUUAGUGAUACUGAAGAUGCAAACCUAUAUACGUUUAAACUGCUGAGAGUUGUGGCCGUGAUAAAACAAUAAGGAAGCACGUCUUUGCGAACAGAAAGAACUCAGGCUUUGACAUGUACUAUAAAUUCUUCCCAAUAACUUGCAAAACAAAACAACAUUAAAAUGUCAAUCCACAUAGACACAUGUAUGCCUAUCUAUAUAUGUAAUAUGAUGAAAAAUAAACAAAAAGAUACCAAUGUCAACCUCCCAAACUAGAGGAAGCACGGAUAUGUUGACCAUAAGAAUGUUCUUUGGCAGAGCGACUGGAAGUGAGUAAAUUGACCUGCAGAAGGCCCUCAACAAUUAGAGUUGACAGAAUGACACAAAGGUAGGUAGCAAAGAAAAAUUGGUCAAGAAAGUUACCUUCACGAUGUCACAUUUGGCGCUUGGUCGCCUGGAGGCAGCUAGGACACUCAUGUGAAAUAGCUGUUUUCAAGAACACAAUGAUAAACAAAGCAAUACACGUGAAAAUUUUAUCUAACAAUUAACUUCUACUGUUGUUUGCGGUACUUGCAAUGGAAACUAGUACAAAACUUAAAGAAAGGAUGAACUGGACAUGAAAGCAAAGCAAUGUGAUUUCUGACUCACAGCAGUUAUUAGUUAAUAAAGAAAAGUUAUAUUUUCUUGGUUUGUUGCAUAGGAAAUUACCCUAUAAGGAUCGCUUCUUAAGGACUGCACAAACAGAGAAUUCCCCGAGUCACUAUCCUGCAAUGGAAUAAACACCAGAACUCUUAAACAUGACAAGUCAUAAACAGCAGAAGUGGAUGCAAAUAAAUGCUCCAAAAGGAUAAAACUGAAAUUAAUCAAUAGUCAUGCCUCCAAAUAAACAUCCUUGAGUCGCCUUCCAGUUUGAGCACAGCAGACGCGGACAACAUUUUCAUCACAGCUACCACUUAUGAUGUAAUCCCUCCCAUUCAUGUAAUAGGAGCGAGUAUAAUUAUGAGAACUUCCAGUUGCAGCUAUCUCAAAGUUCAUGUGAACCCUACCAUCUACUGCCAGAAGUUGUUUGACCUGACACAAGUUAAAAGUGGGAUAUUAUCUUGAACUCAGUGAAAGAAGCCAACAAGUUUGUUAUUACUAUGUUAAGGUGGCAUGCUUACAUCCUAAGAGGUAAACAAGGAAUUCUGCUUGAUGAUUAGUAGGGAACAUCUACAGUUAGAUGCGUUAAUGACAUUGGACUAGUGAAAUUAUGCUCAUCUUAUCAAACCCCUUUAUAAGAUUAGGGAGUCUACAUCCACACAAUGAUUUAGAAUUUUUCUUUAUCUAGUACGUUUUAUCCUUGCCCAACUGAAUAUAUACAUACAUAAUGGAUAUGAAAAUACCUCAUUGUCAACAGCUGAAACAAGCAGAUAUUUGUCAUCAGGAGAAAAGCAAACCAUCACAUUCCCUCUUGAACUUGAGGCUGUAUAACAAGGCCUCUCUGGUUUUUGUCUCAAAUCCCAAAGCUUGACAUCAUGGUCAAAUGACGAAGUAGCAAAUAGGAAGGGAGAACAGUGUGCAAAUUUAGCAACAUUAAUGGGUUCUCGAUGCAUAUUAGUAAACAACUGUAUGCGUCUUCUACUACUAAUGUCAUAUAGGGCAACAUCCUUUGAGUACCCACUGGCAAGAAACUGAUCGUCUGUGGAAUUGACAUGAACAGAAGUCAAUGGCUCAAAAUCAUCAAAACUGACCACUCCUGUCAUGCAAUUUAUAUCUGCAACUUUUGGUGGCAUAUGAUUGAUGUCAAACAGCUUCAAGGAACCAUUAUCAGAACCAGCUAGCAACUGUUCAAUGCAUACAAAAAGCCUUCAGCAAAAAUUGAACUUCUAAGAAUCAAAAUGAAGCAAUAAAUUAGAUGUCCUUCCCAUUAUAUAGCAUUUAUGAAUUACUUCCAAAGACAAGUUCUAGCAACAAAUUAUCUAUCCUAUUGAUACAAUUCUAGUAUCUUUUAGGUGUAAGCAUGCAACUGGCUGAUUUCCCUCAUCCAAAGAACAAAUGUAAAAUAUUUCAAGGUUUAAAUUGCUGCGGAAAGUAUACAAGAUACUGCUGUUGGAAAUAUCACCUUGGAAUUCAGGUGUGAUCUUGACCUACAAAGUCAUCGAGUAAAAUAAACCAAAUCCAAAGACAACCGCAAUUUAUUGUUGAACCAUAUUGAACUUACGAUACCAAACACAAGUGCCUUAGAAACAGAUAAAAGAAAAGGGUCGAAAGUGCAAGACAAAAGUAUUACAAGCCUAAAAUGCUUUAUGGAAAUGGCAUACCUUUGAUGGAUACAUUUUGAGCCAACAAAGACCCAGAAUACUGUUCAUUGCUCCACUGGAAGGAACAUAACCAACAGUCUUCCCAUUUUCAUGAUUAGUGACAACUACUUCACCAUCUAGAGUUCCAAAAACCAUAAGACUAGGAUCAGAUGGAUGAUAUUCGAAUUGUCUAGGGCGAAGACGCUUACUUCCUUCUUUAUGCAGAUGGCUCAAGCUAGACAAAGGGUGCAAGAGGGGCCAUGCAACAGAACCCAGCUUGGCAGCACUAAGAGAUCGUGGAAAGAAAAUUUGACUCUUUCCAUGAGGAUAUUGCUUCUUUGUCUUCUGGAAAUUUGGGCAGGCACCACUUGCUCUCAUUUCACGUUUCUGCAGGAUACUGACAAUGCUUUCUUUGUAUUGUCGGUUAUAGGCUAAGUACUCAUAGAAUUUUGAAGAGAUGAUCUUCGCCAUUUUCUUGUCCAGCUUUCCAACGGGCAAAUUAUCUAAAACCUCCAAAUGAGGCAAUGAAGCAAUUAUAUACUCCCUAUAAUGUUUCUCAAAGCAGAUAGGCGAUGGGUGGUGUGAACUGUAAAUGUUGUUUAACUUAGUACAGUUUUUCUUCAAAUCCCACAUGCAUCCACUUGCAAACAACUCAUUUUUGUCUUCAAUCUAUCAUUCGCCAAAAGAAACCUGUUAGACAAACUAAAAAAAUCCAUCACCAAACAUCUAUAUUUCAAACUUUCCCCCUUCUAAGCAUUUAAUAUGCUUACCUCAUUUUGCAACUUGACUUUUCCAUUCAAAUUAGGAAGCAUGCUGGAUGAUAGUUCCAGCAAAUCUAUUCUUUGCAGGCAGCUUGAAAUUUUAUCUUCAGUAGUGACUGAAAAGUUAUCAGUUCCUCCAUUAACCUCAUUACAUGUAAAUGCAUUUUUGGGAGAAAGCAAGUCACAACAUGACAUUGCAUGAGGAGUGUAAAUAGUUGUGUCAGCAGCAUUGACAGGCAGCAGUUCAAUGGAUGAACCUCUAUCCAACUGAUGCAGGACAUUUGCUUUGUUACCAAAUGAUGCAGGACAUGGCCCAGUGUCCUUGCAACACAAGCAAUUUUGGAAUCGUAGUUCUAGCAAAGAAGGAAGUUUCAAUAAGGCAGCAGUGGUUGUCCAGAGAUCAAUCACUCUUGUCUCACACAUUGAGAGACGCAUCAGAUUGGGCAUGGAAGAAAAACAGUCCCUAUGCAAACUAGCGAUUGAAGUGCAAAAAUCCAGAUUUAAGGUGUGCAAUCGCAUAAAACUUCCAACCAUGUUGAGCUUUUGGAUGUGAGUGGACCUCAAGCUUAAAAUUUCACAAGAUAAGCCAUGGUGACUUAGAUCCCUGGAAAGGUCCCACAAACAACGAUGUUAAAAUAUGAUUUAGAUAGAGAAUACUCCACCUUUCUUUUCAUCCUUUUCAAGCAUAGUUAAUUGGUCACUAGACUCACUGCAUGAUAUAAUGUUUCCUUAGCAAAAGAGGAUGCUAUAUGCUUUUCAUAGAAAGACAAAAUUAACUGUCAUGAACCCAGAAAGACACAGGACACAAAUGUUGGGGCUCUGUAAACUGCUGAAGCAGGGUCUUGGGAUCCUAGAUAAGGCCCUCACUUGAGCAUUCAAAUCUUCAUAAUUGUUAACCAAUACAGAAAGUGCCCACUAGCCGUCCUAAUGGUCUUUCCAUCCAGAUUCUAAAAAUAUGACGGCAGUGGUCCUUUUCAAGUUAUUUUAAGUGAUAAUCUCAUCUCUUAAAACUCAUAAAGUGAUUAGAACUUCUAGCAUCACCAUCAUUUUUCUCUCUCUUCAUAUUCUUUUUUCUUUUUUCUCUUUCUUAAGGAAUUCAAGGUUGGGAAAUUGGAAACGGCAGAAAUCUAUCAGGUAAAGGAAAAUAAAAUAUAGAAGAUAAUGCAUUAUGACUAUGGUAAAUGACAAAGACAAUAAGGACAAGCAAUAAAACAGAAUGGUGAUACCAACCAUAAAAAGUCCUCUUCCAAUGACAUUUCCUGAAGAUCAACAACCCGGAGUUUUAGAUGAAUUGCUCGCAACAAGGAAAGAACAUAUUCUUCCUUCAAAUUGCAAUGCGAUUCAUUGACUAUGUCAACUGCAUCAAUGUCAGAAGAGUCUACUGCUAGGAACAUAUCAAUCAGAGGAGGAAUAUCAUCAUUCUUGAGCUGAUUUAGCAAAACCUCAAAGGUACACUUCUUCUGGAAGAACUUCUGUAUUGUGGCCUAAAUAAAAGAAGAAAAGUUAUGCUUGCCACAAAAUAGUUUCUUCAAUGCAAAAACUGUACAAGUUUGUUACUGGAUCAAUCUACCAGCCAGUGAAGCAAAGAUGAUUAAUAAUCAUAGAGAAGAAAGCUAAGUUUCAUUAUGCUAUCAAGUUAGGACCAUAAGUAUUAUUUCAGAGAAAGAAAUGCACCUCCCAAGGCCAAAAAAACAAAAAAAGAAGAAGAAAAAAAAAAAAGACAGCUUGCUGCUUUAGGAGGUGGGAUAAAACUAACUUCAGAAAAAUCCAGUCCAAGCAGCACACAGUGCAACAUAUGGCUCUUUUCUGAAAGAUGGUUUAAGAAUCCCCUCAAUGCAAGCAAAAUGAUUCUAUACUAACAACCAACUUUUAUCCAAAAAAUAUGAUAUUAAUUGAUAAAAACAACAACAAGUGGACAGCCUUAGUCAGUAACAUCAGAUUCCACAAUCUAAAGCAGUCUGAAGGGAUAAAGGCAGAUGAAGGGGGGAGGUGCGUGUGCAAUAUCCUAACAAAGGAAACACUGUUCCCUAUUAAACAUGAGGGGCGGCGCAAACAUUCAUGAAGAAAGUUUAGUUUAAUAGACCUUAGAGAAGCAUGACAGUACGGCAGAAUUGGGUGGCACCUCAUGCCUCCUGCAAGAAUCAAGAUACCUAGCACAAAAAGAGAACGCAAUCUGAGAAUCAAUAAGAAUCUAAAAGUACAAGGAUUCAGAGAGCAAAAGCCACUAUCAACACCAGCAUCAAGAAAUCAAGCUUUUGAAAAUACUUGCAACUAUCAACCAAUGGAACGAGUCCAAACAUGAAAUGUUCUACAAAACAAAAGUAUUUGAAGCCAGAAUACUAAUAAUUCCACAAAUUUACUUUGCCAAAUAUCAAUAAAGGCAACAACAAGACUCAUAUUCUCAUAGAAACUAUAAAAUUUUCUAAAAAAAACUUAAUUGGCCAGUAAAAAGUUCCCAGAAAAUUUUAAUUAUGAUUCUUUUUUCUUUUUUUGGGUAUGUGAAAUUGUACAUUAGUUCAAUCAUUACUAAUCAAUCAAUCCAACUAGCUGACAGUAAUAUUUAGUUUAGUUAAUGUCGCUUUGAAUUUUGAAGAUUCUUCCCGCUACUGAUCAGAGAAAAGGAAUAGAUCAAAGGGAAGGUUAGCUUUGUGAACUAAUUUAUGCAAAGAUACUAGCUUUGAAUCUGAAAUAGAAAAAAAAAUCAUGUUUUGCUUUGUGGGUGUCCACAGAGGAUCUCUCUCUUUUGCUAAUUUCAGUCAUUUAUGUAAAAAAGCUGUAACAAUUGCCAACACUUUCUCUAAGCACUUGCCACCUGCUACUAAUUUUCCUUUGCCUCUUUUGGCUAAUUCCAUUCGUAACUCCCAUCAUUGGUUAACCUCCCAAAAUACCACGUCUAAAUUUCUCUUGAAAGCUGUACCAAACCCACCAAUCCUUUAACUCUUAAAUCCAUGAUUCAGUAGGAAAAAAAAAACAAAACACAGACAAGAAACCAGAAAACCCAGAAGAGAAAAAAAUUAAAGAAAGAAAAAGAUUUAAUUAGAGAUCAAUAUCAUACCGAGCUUCUAAGGUGGAGAUAUCCAUGCAAAUGAUUGGUGACUGUAGCUUUGCUUCUUCUAGUUCUUCACAUUAAUGGCGAAAAAAAUGAAGUCAAUGGAUCUAAGACACGGGAAAUAUUGCUAACAGUGUCAAAAACACAUGUCGAAUGGAUAAGCACACCUGUUCUUAAUUCUAAAUUCUAACAUUACUCAGUGCAGGAAGAGAAAGUGAAAUUUCAACCAAAUAAUAUUCGACAAGAUUACCUUUAGAAGUUAGGACCAUCAUCAAAUGGCCAUUAUGUAUUUGAGUCACGCAAUUAUAAUACAAAUAGUUUUUACAAGUUUAAUUUAUAAUUAUAUUUGUCGUUAUUUAUUUAUUGAAUGAUAAUCUAUUAUUCAAUUUGCUAAAAAAAUGUAUCGUUAGUCAUUGCUAAUUAAUGAUUAACUAUUAUUGGAUUUUGAAAAGCUAUUCUAAUGCUUAAAUUAUUAAAUUCUCCAAUCAAUUCGCAGUUUAAAAAGAUAUUUAAUAUUUUUUAUUUUUAUUAAUGAAAUAUAUCUAUAUACAUUGAAUUAUGUGCGAUGUAAUUAAUCUCUUACAUCCUAUAAAUAUAAUAAAUAUAGAAAGUGUAAGAUAUUUGGUUAGAUUUCUUUUAUUUGGUAAUCUCCUAAAAAAAAAAUCUAUAUAUAUAUAUAUAUAUAUUUUUUUUUUUUAUGGAGGUAAAAUUUAAAAAAAAAUGUGUAAAAUAACUCAACUACCUUUUGUUAUCAUAUGGAAAAAAAUAAUUAAAAUUAAUUUUUUUUAAACUUUGGUAAGGGAACGGAACUGUAAACAUUCUUAAUUAUAUCAAGUGAACACCACCAAGUUAACACAUAAAUAUUAUAAUCUUCAAUCAUUGUAUAAUUUUGUAUAUUAGAAAAUGAAUUAAGUUAAAUUAUUUUAGUGGAUCCUGUGGCUUUUAUUUUUGUCACGAUUUGUCAAAUCAAUGCCCAACUACUAACUAAGAUGUUGACAACAUUGUUAAUAUAAAAAGAUCAUUAAUCAUGUUAGAAAAUGAAAAUAAGCUUGUUAGAAAUAUGUCAAAUAAAAUACUUAUUUCUCAUUUUUUUUGUAUGAAAAAAUAGAGAAGAAAAUAAAUAAAAUUAAUUUCUGAGUAAUAUUUGAAGUUCACCAUCAAAUAAAAUUAGUUGUUUGAUUUGAAUUUGUUCUAAUGAGUUAAUAUUUCCCAACUAAUUAUCAAAUUUCUUUAUCUAUCCCUAGAAGGUGUAGAAUAUGGAAGGAUAAUUAAUUGAAGGUUUUGAUUGGGCCUAAAAAUGAAUGUUAGUAUCUUAGAGAAAAAAAGAAAAAGAAAAAAAAAAGCUCAGUGGUAGAAUAACGGUGGUUGACAACCACAUUUUGCACUGAUCAUCAUCGUCAUCAUCAUCAUUAUGUAAUAAAUGAGAAUAGUGGAUGUUGACAUGACAUUGUGUUUGAGAGUGAAACUCUCUAAAAUUUAAAUAUUUUGUUUUAACUUAGUUAAGAAAAUUUGAAGAUUUUAAAGAGAAAACGUGUCUCCCUUAACUCUUUCUCUCUCUACUUUAUAACUUUUAUGAAUUUUUAAAUAAUACUAACUCAUUUAAAAUUAAUCUCUAAUUUAUAUCUUUUAAAUAUAAUGGCUCUUGAAUAAUAACUCUUUUAAAAUUACUCUCUAAUUUAUUACUUUUAAAUAUAAUGGCUCUUGAAGUUCUCUUAUAAUUUUAAAUUUUCAAUUAGUUCAAUAUUAUUAGGUUAAGAAUGUUAGGAAUAAAAUUAUACAAAAUAAGUUUGAGAUAAAAUUUUAAUAUUGAGUUUGUUGUAUAUUAAUAUUAAUAUUGUUGGUGCAAAAAGGUAAUAAUUAUAUGGAUUUUGGAUCCGCAAAGUAAAAAUUAACCAAAAAUAAAUACUUGCAAUUAAUAUAUUUUUUGCAUGUGCUAAAUUAAUUUUGAGAUAAAAUUUUAGCAUUAAAUUUUUUCUAUAUUAAUAUUGCAAAUGAAAAUAGGUAUUAGCUAUAUGGAGUUUGGACGAGUAAAUGCAGAAAUUGUUCAAAAAUAAAUAUUUGCAACUAGUAUUAUUUUUGCAUGUGCUUUUAUCUAAUAAUGAUGAUAUAACCAUUUUGAUUUGAAUAAACUUUUUUACGUUCUUUAUUUUCGUUCACCUGCUAUCUUAAAAAUCAUGUUUCACCUUAAUUAGCGUAAACAAUUUUAAUUCUACACGAUAAUAUUUAAGUUUAAAUCAUGAAAUAUUAUAAAGCUCUGCGAAACAUAGAAAAUUGCAUAGUUAAAAAUUAAAGUAUAAAGUUAUAUUAGGAAGCCUCCUGUGUUUACUAAUAAUUAGAUAUGAGAAAUGAUGAAAAAGGCUAGGAGCUCUCCUAAUCUAUGUCAUAAUAACUCUCAUCUUUAAGAAUUUUGAUGUAUUUUAAAAAAUAAAUAAAUAAUAACAAUUAGACAAGGAUGAUUAGUUGAUCAUGAACACACGAGUAAUAUAUUAAUUGAAUAAUGACAAUUUACAAUAAUUAUUAUAUAAUAGAAAUAAUUGAAAUAUUAAAAAUUGGUUCCGGUAAUUGAUCAAGUCGACUAAUUCAAUCACGGAUAGCCAGUUCAAUUAGAUUCUCUUUCUUAAAUGAUGCAAAAGCCAAAUGGAUCCAAUUUUAAAAUUAGUUCACCAAAUUUUCGAGUUAAUUUUUUUUUUUUUUUUUUAAGAGAAAAUUAUGCUUGCACCUUUUAGUUGCGUUGAAUUUAAAGUUUGGUUAAAUUGCAAUUAUACCAUAAUAUUUAAAGCUUCUUUAAGGAAAAACUGAAGGUUGGGAAGUUAAAAUGUAUAAGGUUGAAUUUCUCUCCACACCUUAAAUAAUAAAGUUGUACUAUAAUAUUAUACUCUCUUUAUCCAAAUUAUAAUAAACUCAAAAUAACUUACAAAAAAAUAUUUAAUUUAAUAUAAAUAAUAAUAUGAUUAAAAAAAUAUUUAUUAAUUUUUUAAAUAAUCAAUACGUCUUAUAUUUUAAAAUAAAAUAAUCGCAAUUUAUAUUUAGUAGGGCAAAAAAAGUGCUACCGUUGCCAAAGGAUAAGAUUGAAGCUAAUUAGGCAAAACAUUUACACGCUUUGGUCAAAAUCCUUAAGUACGCGGCUAGCCAAUAUGGAAGCACCCAAACUAUUAACCAGUCUUUCACGUGUGGUCGCGCAAGUCCGUGCGUGUGCGCGCAUGCGCAUGCUUGUGUGUGCGUGUGUCCAUGAUUAUAUUUAGCUUGGUUUGGUAGGAUGAAUAUUGCUACUUUAAAAAAAUAAAAAUAAAAAUAAAAAUUGAUUCAUAUAAUAAAAAAAUUGAGUCAUUUAAUUGAAUAAGAACAUAAAAAUCACACUCUCUCUUCCUUCGUGAUUUACAAGAUAUUUAUGAAAGAAACAAAAAUAAGAAUUUGGAGGAGAAAGCAAGUUGUAGAAAAAGACAGAGAUGCAAGAAAGAAAACUUGUGAAGCACGUGUGCCACCCAAAGGAAUAUCUUAUGGAAAUUGAAAAGGAUUGUACAUUGGCUAACGAAUAAUUAGGCAAUUAGCCUACUAUGAUGGCUUAAUUAAAUUAUUAAUUGACUCGGUAAACUGAUCAAUUAACAAGUAAUUAUAAAAUAGUGGAUCUCCAUUUUAUACUUUUUCUUCUCAUAUACAAUUUUAAAUUUCUACUCAUCAUUUUAAAUUUGGUAAACGGCAGUGGAGUCAAUAUAUAAUUAAUUUUGAAAUGAUAUUCAUAUAAUAAUCAAAUAAGUUCAAAUUAAGUAAAAAUCUAAUUAAUUAAUUAGUAACUUCAAACAUAUACUACUAACCAUUUUGUUUUAGAUUAGUUCAUGAGAAAUUUGUAUAUCUAUAUUGAACUUGAAAUAAAAAUAAAGUUCACUCUUUAUUUAGCAUAGUAUUUUACCCUUUUUGUAAAUUUUUAUUUUUUUUUUCCUUAUUUUUUAUAUUUUAAUUCAACCACUUAAGGUAUCUUUAAAGUUUUAAAAUUAAUAUUUUUUUAUAAUAAUUUAUAUUGAUAUCUAUAUUUUUAAAUCCAUAUAUCUAUGUGUAUUUAUAUCCACACAUAUUUUAUAUAUCAAUUCAUAUCUAAAUCUAUAUAUCUAUAUUAAAGCUGAAUAAAAAAAAAGUUAUAAAUUCGAUUAUCCUUUUUCUUAUAUUCUUUUCCUUUAAAAUUUUUUAAAUUAUUUCUUUAUUUUUCUAUAUUUGAUUGAGCUAGUUAACAAUAUUUUUAAAAUCUUUCUAUCUAUUCAAGCCAAGAUAAAGUAAAAGUUCAAAAUUUGAUUUUCGCUUCAUUUAGUAUUUUGCUUUUUUCUUUUCAAGAAAGUUUUUGACUUUUUAUUUUUAUGUAUUUAUUUUACCGUCUAGGAUAGUUUUUUAAAGUUUAAAAAUUGUGCGUGUGUAUGUGAGAGAGAUAUAUAUUAGGAUGCUUUGUUAAUAUUAUCAUGGUUUUAAUAAAUGAUAUGUCAUUUGUGUCACGUGUAUAGUAAGUACUCUCUUAAAAAAAAAAAAGUUAUUUAUAAUAAUUACGAAUGAAAAUCUAAUAUAUUAAUUAUAUAUCAUUAAAAAAAUACUGAAAGUUCAUAGCUAGUUCUAUUUGUUGGUUUUUAAUAUUUAAAAUUUCAAUUAUUAUAUUAUUUUGAGAUAUUUAUUUAUUUAUUUUUUUGAGUAUUGGGGGAGAGGGAUUUGAAUCCAAAUCUAUUGCUGGGUCGUAUAUGCACUUAUCACUAGAUUAGGAUAAUAAUUAUUUAAGUUUGAAAGUUACUAUUUAUUUAUAAUAAUAUUAGAAAAAUAAUCAUAUUAAUUAAGUCAAAAUUAAAAAAUGUCAAAACUGCCCUCCCUUUAAUUUUACAAUUUUACUUGCAUUCUACUCUAUAGAGUAAAGUAUUCAGUUUCUUGAUUUUGAGCUUAAAUGCACUAAUUACGCUGUAUUUAAUUAGCUCUGAAACUGAAAGUUUUGUUUGAAAUUCUUGUCCUUGAUUUUUGCCUCAGCUGAAACAGUAUAUCUGCUUGGAUUGAAAAUACAAAAGCCUUAUACCCAAUCAUAUUGGGCUUAGCCCAUACAUAUCUAUCCAACUCCAACAUUAACCCUUUCGAGAUCAUUAACAUGAUUGGAUUUGGCUCAAUAUCAUUAUUAUCGGUAGAGAUGUCAUUUUCAAAACAAAAGGGAAAAAGAUACUCGAGCUUCUCAAGUUAGUUUUAGGAUUAUACAUUUGUAAGUUCAAAACUAAUCUAAACUUAGUUAAUCAAAUUGAGGUUUUAAUUUAUUUUUUUGUCUUUCCAAAUUAAUCCUACCAUGCUCUAGUCCAGGAGCACAAGGGGGAAUAAUAAAUUCAAGCUUCCUCCUUUCAAUUUUAAAAGAUAUUCCAUAUUAUCAUAAUCUUUUUUUCGUUAAUUAUGAUUUUCAAACUAUUUUUGAUUUGAGAGAGAAGAGAAAGAACCCACUAUCCAAAAGAAAAACUAUAUAUUAGAGAUUAAAUUAGGAAAGUAAGAACUAUAUCGUAUCAGUUUAAAUGGGUAGAGUAAGGCCAUAAAUGAUUUAUAUAAUUAUCAAUGGCUUAAAAGGAAUGAUAAAAAUAGUUGUACUACUAAUAUAAGAAAAUUUUAUGAUUUUAUCAUUAUAUUUUGUCAUAAUAUAUAAAUUGCUUGCAUUUUUCAGAAAUGCAUACUUUUGUUUUUAUCUUCUCUAUUUCUGUCGAUUUUUUAUACUUUUUUUCGUCAAUAAAUACUACUAUGUUUUUCAUAUAUUUUGUUAAAAUUUACAAUUUAUCCAUUUAUGUAUCAAUUAUUGUCUACAUAUUUCGCUAAAAUUAAGUAGCAAAAUUAAGUAAUUAUCCCUAUAUUUAAUAGAAGGUAGAAAAAAUUAACAUAAGAUACAUCAGUGUGUAACGGAUGAGGUAAAAAAUAUGGAUAAAAUUAUAUAUCUCUAAAUAAAAAAUAAAAUUAUUCGAAUCCAAUCGAUUACAGAUGUUUUUAUCAAUUUAAUAAGCAAGAGGAAAACUACCCCUACCCUUAUUACAUAAUGCAAAUAUUAAACAUUGCUUACCAAUAAUAAUACAUAUUCUUUGUAUUGGAUGCAGAUAAAAGCUUUACCUCAACAAAGAAAAUCUUUAACACCAAAAUGGUAGGGCUCUGACCAAAUGCCAGAAUCAAGAUAAACAAUCAUGCCAUCAAAUCAACUUGCUUUUCUUUCUUUUCUUUUUUUCCAUAAUUACCUUGCCCUUCCUUUUCUCUAUCAAACUGUAAUUUUUAGAUGACAAACAACCAGAGAUAACUACUCUUUUUUGUUUCUCUCUUUUAAUCUUUUGUUAGUUUUUAACUGAAACAAUUAAAGAAUAAAGCCAAACAUAUGAAAAAGCAAACGCAAGAACAGGCUGUUAAGAAAAGAAAGAAAGGAAAGAACAAAAGAGAGGCUCCCAAUAGAAUAAUCCAAAAUAUAUAAAAUGACAGUGAAUAGAAAACUACAAAAAUACAGAGUUUUUCCCCCCACACAGCUCUCCCUCCCUGUCCCUCAAAGAAUACUGAAUACAAAGCAAAUGUGGUUAAUCCCCAGGCAGAAAAAACCAAACCACUGGCCAGUAAGAUAUAGCAAUAAUUUAACAAAACAAUGGUAAUCAAAUAAAAAUAUCAAAUGGUGAGUCCGUAAAUAAAGAAGAAGAGCAUGUGGGGGACAAAAGAUUAAAAUAAUUUAACACCAAUAGCAAUAAUGGACAUUAUAAAACAUAUCUCUCUGUUUUGAUCUCUAGAAGAUCAAAGUCAUUGCUGCCCAUCCCAAUGCCAAGCCUCCGAGCAUCUUCUGUACUGACCUUAUCGAUUCUGAUCCGCUCUGCAAUUUGGAUCAAAAUUCAUUUUCAUAAUCCAGAUGUUAAGAAGAAUAAAUAAACUUGCAUAAAUUUCUACUUUAAUAAUUAUUCACGAGAAUGUUGUUGCCUCUCCCCGUUGGGAAGUUAAUGAUCUGAAAUUCUGAUGUUGAAAUUUCAAUGUUCGGUUUAGAGAAACAAUAAAUACACAUUCAUUAGAAAACCAUUAGCUUGAGAAUUAUUCGAUUCAAGAUAGAUCCUCCUUACGGGAAGUGAAACCGCUUUGUGCCAUAGAUUUUUAUUACUAUUGCAUUAAAACCUUUCAUCAACAGUUAUAAUUUUAUUAAUUAAAAGGACUUGCCCACUGUACUAAUAAAAUUAAUCACCUCCACAUUAAUGUUCUGCAGAUCCACGGAUGACACAGUGCAAUUCACUGUCAUUUGUACUACAGUGAUGGGGCGUGAAUCUUACGCGCCACAGUGUCGCGUUCAUCUCACUAGAGACAAGCGCUUACCACCAGAAGCAGUACUUGAGAAGCGCCAAGCUUUGCUUCCACUAAGCAGUUAUAAGGCAGCACCGACAUUUAGCAUUUCAAUAAUGGAUUAACUUGAGGGGCAAUAAUCCGGUCAUUUUAGGAAAUUUAAGCAUUCUUCACUAAUUUAGGCUCGGUGACCACUAACGAUAUCUAGAUUUUUUUCUAGUGCUAAAGAGGGAAAACACAGACCAUGGAUCUUUGCAUUAAACUUCAGAUCUGGAGGUGCAUUGCACUCCAGCGCAUGUCAGAUGGUAAGCCAAUCGGAAAAACAACUAAAACGAGCACUGGAAAGUAGAAAGUACCUCAUCGGCCACAGAAGCGGGACCAGGAGAGCUGGCGUCAAGGCUCGGUCCAGGUGCCUCCGUCGGUGGAGCUGGUGGACUCGACAACUCCGGACCAGGAGCAGGUGAAGCAGCGUGCUUCUUCGACUUUUUCUUGGUUGGAGUCGGUGCAGGAACCUCGGCGGUUGGCGCAGCCACUGGAGCUGAAGGAGCAGUUUCCGGAGGAGAGCUUGUUGGUGGAGUAACUGGUGCUGGUGAUGGAGGAGAUUGGGCCGGAGAUUUUGCUGGAGUUUUUGCUGGAGGAGAGCUCACUGGAACUGCAACAGGUGGUGAACUAAUAGGAGCGGCGGCAAGUGGUGGUGUAGCUACCGGAGCCGCAGCCGGAGCUGGCACCUUCUGUUUGGUCGGAGAAGCUGCUGGUGUCUUCGCUGGUGGUGAAGACACUGGAACUGCAACAGGAGCAGGCGAUUUAGAUUUUGCUGGUGCUUUAGCAGGUGCAGUUACAGGCGCUGCAGGAGCCAACGGAGUAGCAGUCGGUGCUGCACCUGGAGCUUGGCCGCCGACGCCGGCGACAAUGAUGCACAUUAAUGCAACAGAAAAAACGCUUUUGCGAUCCAUCUUGGCAGAGGAGAGA